CAGCCGCCGCGGUAAUGCGGAGGGGGCUAGCGUUGUUCGGAAUUACUGGGCGUAAAGCGCACGUAGGCGGCUUGGUAAGUUAGAGGUGAAAGCCCGGAGCUCAACUCCGGAAUUGCCCUUAAGACUGCCGAGCUAGUAGGUGAGAGAGGUAAGUGGAAUUCCGAGUGUAGAGGUGAAAUUCGUAGAUAUUCGGAAGAACACCAGUGGCGAAGGCGGCUUACUGGCUCAUUCUAGACGCUGAGGUGCGAAAGCGUGGGGAGCAAACAGGAUUAGAUACCCCCGUAGUCCCUGUCUCUUAUAC
Molecule: ribosomal RNA, 301 nt
Filed under: uncultured bacterium
Lineage: Bacteria
Description: partial 16S ribosomal RNA
Rfam family: Bacterial small subunit ribosomal RNA
Source: RNAcentral